UGGGGAAUCUUGCGCAAUGGCCGAGAGGCUGACGCAGCGACGCCGCGUGGGGGAUGAAGCAUUUCGGUGUGUAAACCCCUGUUGCUCGGGACGAACGAUCCUUUUCGAGGGAUGUGACGGUACCGAGUGAGGAAGCACCGGCUAACUCCGUGCCAGCAGCCGCGGUAAUACGGAGGGUGCGAGCGUUGUCCGGAAUCACUGGGCGUAAAGGGCGCGUAGGUGGUUAGAUGCGCCGGUGGUGAAAGCGCAGGGCUCAACCCUGCGUCGGCCAUCGGGACGGUCUGACUUGAGCACUGUAGAGGCAGGUGGAAUUCCGGGUGUAGCGGUGGAAUGCGUAGAGAUCCGGAAGAACACCGGUGGCGAAGGCGGCCUGCUGGGCAGUAGCUGACACUGAGGCGCGACAGCGUGGGGAGCAAACAGGAUUAGAUACCCUGGUAGUCCACGCCGUAAACGAUGGGCACUAGGUGCUUGGGGGAGCGA
RNAcentral lists this ribosomal RNA (480 nucleotides) under uncultured bacterium. RNAcentral's name for it is "bacterial SSU rRNA". It matches the Rfam family "Bacterial small subunit ribosomal RNA", at positions 355 to 835 of the family's 1533-position model. The record is from RNAcentral.